AUACGUAGGGUGCAAGCGUUAAUCGGAAUUACUGGGCGUAAAGCGUGCGCAGGCGGUUCUGUAAGACAGAGGUGAAAUCCCCGGGCUCAACCUGGGAAAUGCCUUUGUGACUGCAAGGCUAGAGUACGGCAGAGGGGGAUGGAAUUCCGCGUGUAGCAGUGAAAUGCGUAGAUAUGCGGAGGAACACCGAUGGCGAAGGCAAUCCCCUGGGCCUGUACUGACGCUCAUGCACGAAAGCGUGGGGAGCAAACAGGAUUAGAUACCCUGGUAGUCCACGCCCUAAACGAUGUCAACUGGUUGUUGGGUCUUCAUUGACUCAGUAACGAAGCUAACGCGUGAAGUUGACCGCCUGGGGAGUACGGCCGCAAGGUUGAAACUCAAAUGAAUUGACGGGG
Molecule: ribosomal RNA, 395 nt
Filed under: uncultured bacterium
Lineage: Bacteria
Description: partial 16S ribosomal RNA
Rfam family: Bacterial small subunit ribosomal RNA
Source: RNAcentral